GCGAAAGCCAGGGGAGCGAACGGGAUUAGAGACCCCGGUAGUCCUAGCUGUAAACGAUGUAGACUUGGCGUUGGCGGAGUUAAAUCUGCCAGUGCCGGAGCUAACGCGUUAAGUCUACCGCCUGGGGACUACGACCGCAAGGUUAAAACUCAAAGGAAUUGACGGGGACCCGCACAAGCAGCGGAGCGUGUGGUUUAAUUCGAUGCUACACGAAGAACCUUACCAGGGUUUGACAUGCAAGUGGUAGGAAUCCGAAAGGUGACCGACCCUUCGGGGAGCUUGCACAGGUGCUGCAUGGCUGUCGUCAGCUCGUGUCGUGAGAUGUUCGGUUAAGUCCGCUAACGAGCGCAACCCUCACUGUGUGUUAUAUGUGUCACACGGGACUGCCGGUUUUAAGCCGGAGGAAGGCGAGGAUGACGUCAAGUCAGCAUGGCCUUUAUAUCCUGGGCUACACACACGCUACAAUGGUCGGUACAAUAGGUUGCCAAGCCGCGAGGCGGAGCCAAUCCAUAAAGCCGGCCUCAGUUCAGAUUGUAGGCUGCAACUCGCCUGCAUGAAGAUGGAGUUGCUAGUAACCGCAGGUCAGCAAUACUGCGGUGAAUACGUUCCCGGGUCU
RNAcentral lists this ribosomal RNA (616 nucleotides) under uncultured bacterium. RNAcentral's name for it is "bacterial SSU rRNA". It matches the Rfam family "Bacterial small subunit ribosomal RNA", at positions 753 to 1381 of the family's 1533-position model. The record is from RNAcentral.